GAAGACCACAGUUUCCUGUCGCGUGGAUGUGUUUCCUCUCUGGCCAUUGCCAUCCGCCCAAAUCUACAGACAUCCCGCAUGUUCCCGGGCUCGUCUCCCCAAUACAGGGCACCAAGCAUCCUACCAAGGCGAAUCCAUUGACCAGGAUUUAAGUUGAGACUCCCCCAGGACCCCGGGUGCAGCAUCUGGGUCCCCCUGCCCCGCCCUGCCUUGCGCCGCAGCCGCUUCCGUUGUCCUGCCAGGCUGUAGACUGCGCAGCCCUCCUGGAGACAGAUGGAAGCUCCUUGGGUCGACAGAUUACAGCUUCUGGAACCCCCUACUCCCUUCAACUCCGAGAUGGACACCCACUGUCCAGGGAGAGGAUGCCUGGAAAUAACAGCUGGGAUCUACAGUGGCCAAAGAGUUGUCUCCGUCUUGCUACAUCGACAAACUGGUGCUCCUGAGUGAGGAUUGUGCCCUGGGAUGGGGGAUUCAGUUUCUUCAUUUAUAGUUGGAAGUGGGUGAAGCCACUUCGGAAGCGUUUUCCUCUCCACUCUGACAACAGGCAAGAGUGAGGGUCCAACAAUACAGAGGAAGUAACGUGUCGCUGCUACUCUUCCAUGCCCAGUGCCAGGAGCGACGGUACACUCCAGAGUGCUGUGCCCUGAUGGGCCUUUGAGUGGCCAGUGCAGUGGAUCAUCAGCCCUGUCUCCCAAGAGCUCCAGUCCCUUCUCCGGAGAGGAAGUGGGUCCACUGGCAGCUCAGGAGGCCAUAGCAGCUAAUAGCUGUGUCUUGGUUCCUGGUGAGAUCUUGGUUGACUCGGGGGUCCUGAGUGUGGCUUGUCUCUGCAGGAUUGUCACGUGUGCUCAACAGUCCUCCUCGGCUUUCCAGAAGAGGCUGGAACAGGGCCCUUGAAGAUGUUUGUGGACAUCAGAGGGCCAAAGACGACACAAAGUGAAACUGGAGACACCGCCCCCCCUUGGCAUCAUGAAACUGCCGAUGUUACUGGCUCAUGCAUGGGAGACACCAGCAUACAAAGUCUUGACACCAACACCUCAGAGGGCUGUGUUCUGUCCCCGUGACCAUCAUCUAGUGCCUGGAAAGACUAGUGACAAGAACUUGUUGCCAACUUCCUAUUACCUCCCUAACAGUUGUGCAAUAAACCCCAUAGGUUAA
Molecule: long non-coding RNA, 1155 nt
Filed under: Mus musculus (house mouse)
Lineage: Eukaryota; Metazoa; Chordata; Mammalia; Rodentia; Muridae
Description: small nucleolar RNA host gene 17
Source: RNAcentral